This 301-nucleotide ribosomal RNA is filed under the name uncultured bacterium. RNAcentral's name for it is "partial 16S ribosomal RNA". It matches the Rfam family "Bacterial small subunit ribosomal RNA", at positions 509 to 807 of the family's 1533-position model. The record is from RNAcentral.
CAGUCGCCACGGUAAUACAGAGGGUGCGAGCGUUAAUCGGAUUUACUGGGCGUAAAGCGUGCGUAGGCGGUUAUAUAAGACAGAUGUGAAAUCCCCGGGCUCAACCUGGGAACUGCAUUUGUGACUGUAUAGCUAGAGUACGGCAGAGGGGGAUGGAAUUCCGCGUGUAGCAGUGAAAUGCGUAGAUAUGCGGAGGAACACCGAUGGCGAAGGCAAUCCCCUGGGCCUGUACUGACGCUCAUGCACGAAAGCGUGGGGAGCAAACAGGAUUAGAUACCCCCGUAGUCCCUGUCUCUUAUAC